This 385-nucleotide ribosomal RNA is filed under the name Prognathodes falcifer (scythemarked butterflyfish). RNAcentral describes it as "partial 16S ribosomal RNA". It matches the Rfam family "Bacterial large subunit ribosomal RNA", at positions 1811 to 2370 of the family's 2925-position model. Lineage: Eukaryota; Metazoa; Chordata; Actinopteri; Chaetodontiformes; Chaetodontidae. The record is from RNAcentral.
AAACAUCGCCUCUUGCAAAACCAAUGAAUAAGAGGUCUCGCCUGCCCUGUGACUAUAUGUUUAACGGCCGCGGUAUUUUGACCGUGCGAAGGUAGCGCAAUCACUUGUCUUUUAAAUGGAGACCUGUAUGAAUGGCACAACGAGGGCUUAACUGUCUCCUCUUUCCAGUCAAUGAAAUUGAUCUUCCCGUGCAGAAGCGGGAAUAAUUACAUAAGACGAGAAGACCCUAUGGAGCUUUAGACAAAAGGCAGACCAUGUUAAGCACCCUUAAAUAAAAGGCUAAACUCGAUGACCCCUGCCCCAAUGUCUUUGGUUGGGGUGACCGCGGCGAAACAUAUAACCCCCGCGAAGAAAGAGGGCUCCUCCCUCCGAACCAAGAGCUCCC